AGGACUUAAGGAAGAAGAUGUGAGACCCUGGGAAGUUACACAAAACAGGAAGAUCUACCCUGGGGGCAGCAUUCUGGUGCUGGGGAAUAGCACAGACCAGCUAACAGUGACCUCAUCAGCUACAGAAAAAGGCAGCAUACCGAAGACAAGAUGGGAGAAACCAGGAAUCAGAGGCUGAUUUGUGUGUGAUGAAAAGAAUGUCAACAACAAGAACAACAACAACAACAAAAGAGAGGAAGGGCGAAGAAUAGAAAUACCUGCAGAAGUGAAAAAACAACUCAUCUGAAGGGGGACAGGUUAUCAAGCUCAUGAACUUAUAGGAGGAGCUGGAGCCCUUUGUCAUAGAGCUGAAUGGACAUCUGGCCGAGCACUCGGAGUAACUGAAGGAGGACAUUCAGCAGGAGUUGGGGAGCUGCCGGCCUGAGUGCUAUAUCCUGCACCAACAAGGUGAACCAGCAGAUCAGUGUCAAAAGGAUGGAAUAGACAUGAAGUGCCCAUCAGUGAAUAAAGCUCCCUCUUUCUUGUGACAAAAAGCAAGCAAGCAAGCAAGCAAGAAGCUCCCAACUACUGUGAAUAAAUUGAGACAAAGAAAAUGUU
Herpailurus yagouaroundi (jaguarundi) is the source of this 597-nucleotide long non-coding RNA. RefSeq lists it as uncharacterized. The record is from RefSeq and is a predicted model, not a curated record. The transcript is spliced from 4 exons. NCBI's taxonomy places the organism in Eukaryota, Metazoa, Chordata, Mammalia, Carnivora, Felidae.